GCUAAAUACCUAGCCCCACCUUUCUUCUGUUCUAAAACUUACCUUUUUCCUUAAAUCAAAACAUUUUCUAAGUCAAGUAGAGGUGAUCAAAAAACUUCUGGGCGCCAUAGAUAUAGUACCGCAAGGGAAAGAUGAAAUAGAAAUGAAAUAACUUUAAAGCACAACAUAGUAGAGUUUACCCCUCGUACCUUUUGCAUCAUGGUUUAACUAGUCUAAUCAAGCAAAAAGAUUUUUAGUUUGAACCCCCGAACCUAGGCGAGCUACUUUAGGACAGCUUUUUGAGCGAACCCAUCUCUGUUGCAAAAUAGUGGGACGAUCCUAAGGUAGAGGUAACAAGCCUAACGAGCCUAGUGAUAGCUGGUUGCCUUAGAAAAGGAUCUUAGUCCCGCUUAAAGUCAAAUAAAUCUAUAAAAAUUUCUUUAAAGCAAUUCAAAUAAGGUACAGCCUAUUUGAAAAAGGAUACAACCUCCACUACUGGGUUAUAUAAAUAAUAAUAAUAUCUAAGUAGGCCUAAGAGCAGCCACCUUCUACGAAAGCGUCAAAGCUCAAUUAUUUAUUUAUUAAAUUUCUUAGUUAAUCUCUAUCCCUUAUUCCCCAAAAGGCAAAUCUAUAUACUUAUAGAAAAUUUUAUGUUAAAACUAGUAAUAAGAAGCAGACCCUUCUCUCCCAAUGUAAGUUUCCAUCAGUAAGGCCAUCCCGCUGAUAAUCACCGCCACUAAUAAUGAAAUAGCAACUGACCAAGAAAAAUCUAUUACAUUUCACGUUAACCUAACACCAGAGCAUUCAGAGAAAGAUUAAAAGAAAAAGAAGGAACUCGGCAAAUAUUAGUCUCGCCUGUUUACCAAAAACAUCGCCUCUUGAACUACAAUAAGAGGUCCAGCCUGCCCAGUGACACUGUUCAACGGCCGCGGUAUCCUAACCGUGCGAAGGUAGCGUAAUCACUUGUUCUUUAAUUGUGGACUAGUAUGAAUGGCCCCACGAAGACUAUACUGUCUCCUUUUUCUAAUCAAUGAAACUAAUCUCCCCGUGAAGAAGCGGGGAUGACUCUAUAAGACGAGAAGACCCUAUGGAGCUUUAAACAACUGAAGUAUUUGCUUUUACUUAACACCUUCAGAAAACUAAACAUAUUUAAGCAUUUUUAACUUCUAGUUUUAGGUUGGGGUGACCACGGAGUAAAACUUAACCUCCGCGCUGAAAGACAAACCUUCUUAGCAAAAAGCCACAUCUUUAUGCAUCAUCAAACUGACUUACAUUGACCCAAUUAUUUGAUCAACGAACCAAGUUACCCUAGGGAUAACAGCGCAAUCUACUUCAAGAGCCCGUAUCGACAAGUAGGUUUACGACCUCGAUGUUGGAUCAGGGUAUCCUAGUGGUGCAGCCGCUACUAAAGGUUCGUUUGUUCAACGAUUAAAACCCUACGUGAUCUGAGUUCAGACCGGAGUAAUCCAGGUCAGUUUCUAUCUAUAAAAAGAUUUUUCUAGUACGAAAGGACCGAAAAAUCAUGGCCAAUAGAAUUGCUAAGCCAUAAAUACUAAGUUGUGUUUACUAACUUAAUAACUAACAUUUUUACCACUUUCCUCAAGAAUAGAGGGCAUUGAAA
This 1600-nucleotide ribosomal RNA is filed under the name Phyllobates terribilis. RNAcentral's name for it is "16S ribosomal RNA". It matches the Rfam family "Bacterial large subunit ribosomal RNA". The record is from RNAcentral. Lineage: Eukaryota; Metazoa; Chordata; Amphibia; Anura; Dendrobatidae.